CAGUCGCCGCGGUAAUACGAAGGGGGCUAGCGUUGUUCGGAAUUACUGGGCGUAAAGCGCACGUAGGCGGAUAUUUAAGUCAGGGGUGAAAUCCCGCAGCUUAACUGCGGAACUGCCUUGAUACUGGGUAUCUUGAGUAUGGAAGAGGUUAGUGGAAUUGCGAGUGUAGAGGUGAAAUUCGUAGAUAUUCGCAGGAACACCAGUGGCGAAGGCGGCUAACUGGUCCAUAACUGACGCUGAGGUGCGAGAGCGUGGGGAGCAAACAGGAUUAGAUACCCCCGUAGUCCCUGUCUCUUAUACA
This 301-nucleotide ribosomal RNA is filed under the name uncultured bacterium. Its description in RNAcentral is "partial 16S ribosomal RNA". It matches the Rfam family "Bacterial small subunit ribosomal RNA", at positions 509 to 808 of the family's 1533-position model. The record is from RNAcentral.